Molecule: ribosomal RNA, 253 nt
Filed under: uncultured bacterium
Lineage: Bacteria
Description: partial 16S ribosomal RNA
Rfam family: Bacterial small subunit ribosomal RNA
Source: RNAcentral
UACGAAGGGGGCUAGCGUUGUUCGGAAUUACUGGGCGUAAAGCGCGUGUAGGCGGCUUGGUAGGUCCGCUGUGAAAACUCGAGGCUCAACCUCGAGAUGUCGGCGGAAACCGCUUGGCUAGAGUCCGGAAGAGGAGAGUGGAAUUCCCGGUGUAGCGGUGAAAUGCGCAGAUAUCGGGAAGAACACCUAUGGCGAAGGCAGCUCUCUGGGACGGUACUGACGCUGAGACGCGAAAGCGUGGGGAGCGAACAGG